This 970-nucleotide long non-coding RNA is filed under the name Volvox carteri. RNAcentral describes it as "long non-coding RNA (VCAR_LNC004390)". Lineage: Eukaryota; Viridiplantae; Chlorophyta; Chlorophyceae; Chlamydomonadales; Volvocaceae. The record is from RNAcentral.
GGGAAGUUGUUUCGUGGCUACUGAACUUUGUUGAUUGCAUCAUUUAAAUCCUGGCCAGAACCUGCCAUAGAAUAGGACGCUCUUUUGUCAUGGCAAAGACAGGGGGUGGAGUAUGGCCGCCGCCGCGCCUGCGGUUGAGACUAAUGCACCUCCCACAUGUUUUAGCUAGUUACAUCAACAAUGCUGUGCCUGUGGGACUGUGCGAGCUGGUGACUUAACUUGUCAUGCUUGAACACAGCAGGAGAGAAUCUUUGCUAAUUAAACCUUAAAUACAUGCCUUAAGUAUGUAACAUAUGGCUUCAAAUUAACAACAGGGUACCCUGUAAGGGAGCUGACCGAGUAAGGCUUGGCAACAGGCCAAAAGGAAGUUGCCCUGCUAGCUGGCAUAUACUGAUCUUUUGCGUUGGAUAAGUGCAGCUAAGCCUAAGGGCUUUGUUUACGGCCGCGCCUGAAUGCAUAUCAAGUCACUGCAAGUGGCUGAAACGAAGGUAAUUCAAGUGCACUCCAGAAUCCCGGCAGGGAUGCUGUAUAGUACAUUGUGCACAUUGUUAUAGCGGUAAUAUACUAUGCAGCAUUUCAGAAGGGAUUCCGGAGUCCAUAUGGCAUAUAAUUGUCAUUUUUUAGAAAGGAACAAAACAUGAACACAUAGCCAGCAUAUGACCAUUGGGAACAUGACUGAAUUUACACAUAUGAGUGGCGAUUCAUGAUCAGUCAUGCUGCACAAGGAACAUGACAACUGUCAUGACCAUGACUCUGCCUCAUGACCGGUAACAUGACCGGUCAUGAGGCCUCAUGAGUGGUCAUGAGGCAACAUGACCAGAUCUAUGACAGGAAACCCCCCGCAUGACCACAUCCAUGACCAAGUCGUUCCCCGAGUAUAUAUACGUAGGUGAUCAUGAUCUAAAGUUUUACUGUGCCACGCAUGGCCAUAUGGCCAUGGCACACACAAGCACACACACCUCGCGACAGG